GAUGAACGCUGGCGGCGUGCCUAAUACAUGCAAGUCGAGCGAACAGAUGAGGAGCUUGCUCCUCUGACGUUAGCGGCGGACGGGUGAGUAACACGUGGAUAACCUACCUAUAAGACUGGGAUAACUUCGGGAAACCGGAGCUAAUACCGGAUAAUAUAUUGAACCGCAUGGUUCAAUAGUGAAAGACGGUUUUGCUGUCACUUAUAGAUGGAUCCGCGCCGCAUUAGCUAGUUGGUAAGGUAACGGCUUACCAAGGCAACGAUGCGUAGCCGACCUGAGAGGGGUGACCGGCAACCGUGAAACUGGAACCGGGUCCGACCCCUUAGGGGGGGAAGAAGAAGGAAACUUUCCGAAAUGGGCGAAACCUUACCGAGGAAACGCGGGGGAGGUGAGGAAGUUUUUCGGUUUGUAAAACUUUUUUUUUAGGGAAGAAAAAAUGUUAAAUAAACUUUCCCAGUUUUGAGGGAACUAAUCAGAAAGGCCCGGGUAAACUCCGG
This 497-nucleotide ribosomal RNA is filed under the name uncultured bacterium. Its description in RNAcentral is "partial 16S ribosomal RNA". It matches the Rfam family "Bacterial small subunit ribosomal RNA", at positions 28 to 507 of the family's 1533-position model. The record is from RNAcentral.